Molecule: ribosomal RNA, 379 nt
Filed under: uncultured eukaryote
Lineage: Eukaryota
Description: partial 18S ribosomal RNA
Rfam family: Eukaryotic small subunit ribosomal RNA
Source: RNAcentral
CAAUAGCGUAUAUUAAAGUUGUUGCGGUAAAAAAGCUCGUAGUUGGAUUUCUGUUGAGAGCGACCGGUCCAUACCAUGUAUGCGUAUCUGGCUUGCUCUCGGCAUCCUCUCGAUAGACGUUACUGCGCUCGAUUGCGUGGUGCGGAUCUCGGGACUUUUACUUUGAGGAAAUUAGAGUGUUCACGGCAGGCUUUCGCCAGAAUACAUUAGCAUGGAAUAAUACUAUAGGAUCUUGGUUCUAUUUUGUUGGUUUCUAGAAUUGAGAUAAUGAUUAAUAGGGACAAUUGGGGGCAUUCGUAUCAACACGUCAGAGGUGGAAUUCUUGGAUUGUGUUGCGACGAACUACUGCGAAAGCAUUUGCCAAGGAUGUUUUCAUUGA